This 468-nucleotide ribosomal RNA is filed under the name uncultured bacterium. RNAcentral describes it as "partial 16S ribosomal RNA". It matches the Rfam family "Bacterial small subunit ribosomal RNA", at positions 28 to 507 of the family's 1533-position model. The record is from RNAcentral.
GACGAACGCUGGCGGCGUGCUUAGCACAUGCAAGUCGAACGGAAAGGCCCUGCUUUUGUGGGGUGCUCGAGUGGCGAACGGGUGAGUAACACGUGAGUAACCUGCCCUUGACUUUGGGAUAACUUCAGGAAACUGGGGCUAAUACCGGAUAGGAGCUCCUGCUGCAUGGUGGGGGUUGGAAAGUUUCGGCGGUUGGGGAUGGACUCGCGGCUUAUCAGCUUGUUGGUGGGGUAGUGGCUUACCAAGGCUUUGACGGGUAGCCGGCCUGAGAGGGUGACCGGCCACAUUGGGACUGAGAUACGACCCAGACUCCUACGGGAGGCAGCAGUGGGGAAUAUUGCACAAUGGGCGGAAGCCUGAUGCAGCAACGCCGCGUGCGGGAUGACGGCCUUCGGGUUGUAAACCGCUUUCGCCUGUGACGAAGCGUGAGUGACGGUAAUGGGUAAAGAAGCACCGGCUAACUACGUG